Molecule: ribosomal RNA, 38 nt
Filed under: Oxalis florida
Lineage: Eukaryota; Viridiplantae; Streptophyta; Magnoliopsida; Oxalidales; Oxalidaceae
Description: partial 26S ribosomal RNA
Source: RNAcentral
GAGACCCCAGGUCAAGCGAAACUACCCACUGAAAUUAA